RNAcentral lists this long non-coding RNA (1783 nucleotides) under Anas platyrhynchos platyrhynchos (common mallard). RNAcentral describes it as "lncRNA (ENSAPLG00000030296.1)". Lineage: Eukaryota; Metazoa; Chordata; Aves; Anseriformes; Anatidae. The record is from RNAcentral.
CUCAGAAAACAGGCAGAUUUGGUUAAAAAGAGGGCGAGAAGCGGAAGAAAAACGUCGUUUUUUUAUUAUUCUGGGAAAAAAAAAACGCAAAACCCCCCCAUUUUUGUUCCUCCACCCCCCCUUUUUAAAAAAUGAACGUUUUUCUUCCGCAAAAAGAGGCAGAAAAGGUGAAACUUGCCUGGUGAAGCCGCAAAGAGAGAGACAGGCUGGGAGGAGGAAACAAGGGGAUCUGCAAGAAAAUACACACGGUGAGAAACCCCAAAAACGCCCCAAAUUUAACUGCCCCCCCCCCCCAACACCGCCAGGGGGGGGGCACCCCGAGGGGGGGUCCCCAAAAAAAAUGGGGGGCACCGGGAGGGGGUGAGGGGGUGGGACGGACGCGGCUGCGGCACGGAAUGGGUUAAUACGGCGCCAAAAGUCUUUUGAUUUUUGGGGUGAAACCCGCCGGAUUUGGGGCAGGAAGACCCCCAUGGGGAGGGGGAAGACCCCCAUGGGGAGGGGGACGCCCCCCCCUGCCCCCCCACCCCAUUUUAGGGCCCUGCUUUGGGGUGCGGCGCUUCCAGAGCCUUCAUCCUCCUCCUCCUCCGUUUUGGGGUCCAGUCCCCGUUUUGGGGUUUUGCCCCCAUUUUGGGGUCCAGUCACCGUUUUGGGGUUUUGCCCCCGUUUUGGGGGUUUUGCCCCCCCUCCCCAAUCUUCCUCCUCCUCGUUUUGGGGUUUUGGGGUCUGCUCCCCACCUCCUUCCUCCUCCUCCUCUUCCUCAGGCGUUUUGGGGUCCGGUCCCCGUUUUGGGGUGCAGCACGGCCCCAAAUCCUCCUCCUCCUCUUUGGGUGCCAUUUUGGGGUCUUGUCCCCAUAUCGGGGUACAUUUACCCCAAAAUCUUCCUCCUCUUCCAUGUCCAUUUUGGGGUCCUGGUCCCAUAUUGGGGUUCAGCACUGACCCCAAAUCCUCCUCCGGUGCCAUUUUGGGGUCUGGUCCCAUUUUGGGGUACAGCAUUGCCCCCAAAUUCUUCCUCCUCUUCCUCCGUAUCCAUUUUGGGGUCUCGUCCCCAUAUCGGGGUACAUUUACCCCAAAAUCUUCCUCCAUGUCCGUUUUGGGGUCCUGUUCCCAUAUUGGGGUACAGCAUUGUCCCCAAAUUCCUCCUCGGGUACCGUUUUGGGAUCUGGUCCCAUAUCGGGGUUCACCACUGACCCCAAAUCCUCCUCCUCCUCUUCGGGUACCAUUUUGGGGUCCUGGUCCCAUAUUGGGGUACAGCAUUGGCCCCAAAUUCUUCCUCCUCGGUGUCCAUUUUGGGGUCUCGUCCCCAUAUUGGGGUUCAGCAUUUACCCCAAAUUCUUCCUCCUCCUCCUCCAGUGCCAUUUUGGGAUCUGGUCCCAUUUUGGGGUCCAGCGCCAGCCCCAAAUCCUCCUCCUCCUCUUCGGGUACCAUUUUGGGGUCCUGUUCCCAUUUUGGGGUGCAGCAUCAUCCCCCAAUUCUUUCUCCUCCUCCUCUGUGUCCCUUUUGGGGUCCUGUCCCCAUAUCGGGGUUCAGCGCCGCCCCCAAAUCCUCUCCGCAGCCCCCCAGCAGAAACAACCUAAUUUUGCCCCAAAACCCCAUUUUUUUUUUACAGGUUUCCCCCUUUUUUGGGGUGACCCCGAGCAGGGUUGUGUCAAACCCAGCUGGGUGAUGCCGCCAGGGGAAUUUUUUAGGGGAAAAGAGUGGGAUUUUGGGUACUGUGAGGGGCUGGGGGGGGGUGAGCCCCCCCACGAGGGAUCUGCAGGGAGAAUUGGGGCAAAAAGGAGCGAUU